This is a non-coding RNA of Deinococcus marmoris, 149 nucleotides long. The record is from Rfam. NCBI's taxonomy places the organism in Bacteria, Thermotogati, Deinococcota, Deinococci, Deinococcales, Deinococcaceae.
GGUCAAGAUACUAAGGGUCCACGGUGGAUGCCCUGGCACUGGAGCCGAUGAAGGACGCGAUUACCUGCGAAAAGCCCUGACGAGCCGGAGAUACGCUUUGACUCAGGGAUGUCCGAAUGGGGAAACCCACCUGUUUACAGGUACUUCCG